This 492-nucleotide ribosomal RNA is filed under the name uncultured bacterium. Its description in RNAcentral is "partial 16S ribosomal RNA". It matches the Rfam family "Bacterial small subunit ribosomal RNA", at positions 29 to 507 of the family's 1533-position model. The record is from RNAcentral.
AGUGAACGCUGGCGGUAGGCCUAACACAUGCAAGUCGAACGGCAGCACAGUAAGAGCUUGCUCUUACGGGUGGCGAGUGGCGGACGGGUGAGGAAUACAUCGGAAUCUACUUUUUCGUGGGUGAUAACGUAGGGAAACUUACGCUAAUACCUCAUACUACCUACGGGUGAAAGCAGGGGUUCUUCGGACCUUUCGCGUUUGUAUUAGCCGAUGUCGGAUUAGCUAGUUGGCGGGGUAAAGGCCCACCAAGGCGACGAUCCGUAGCUGGUCUGAGAGGAUGAUCAGCCACACUGGAACUGAGACACGGUCCAGACUCCUACGGGAGGCAGCAGUGGGGAAUAUUGGACAAUGGGCGAAAGCCUGAUCCAGCAAUACCGCGUGGGUGAAGAAGGCCUUCGGGUUGUAAAGCCCUUUUGUUGGGAAAGAAAAGAAGCAGGAUAAUACCCCGCUGUUCUGACGGUACCCAAAGAAAAAGCACCGGCUAACUUCGUG